GGUGCAGUGAUGAGUUACUGGUGUGGGCAGUGGCGUUGGCUUUUCAUGGUCAUCACCGUGAGCCUUUUUCACCAAUCAAACGACUUUUCCUUCCACUGAGCGCU
This is a small nucleolar RNA of Zingiber officinale, 104 nucleotides long. RefSeq annotates it as small nucleolar RNA Z152/R70/R12. The transcript has a single exon. The record is from RefSeq and is a predicted model, not a curated record. Lineage: Eukaryota; Viridiplantae; Streptophyta; Magnoliopsida; Zingiberales; Zingiberaceae.